Molecule: ribosomal RNA, 253 nt
Filed under: uncultured bacterium
Lineage: Bacteria
Description: partial 16S ribosomal RNA
Rfam family: Bacterial small subunit ribosomal RNA
Source: RNAcentral
UACGGAGGGUGCAAGCGUUAAUCGGAAUUACUGGGCGUAAAGGGUGCGUAGGUGGUUAGAUAAGUUAUCUGUGAAAGCCCUGGGCUCAACCUGGGAAGGCCAGAUAAGACUGUUUGACUAGAGUAAGGGAGAGGGUAGUGGAAUUUCCGGUGUAGCAGUGAAAUGCGUAGAGAUCGGAAGGAACACCAGUGGCGAAGGCAGCUUCCUGGCCCAAUACUGACGCUCAGGUGCGAAAGCGUGGGGAUCAAACAGG